AAGUUUUGAGAGGUUUGUAACUUCAACCUUAGGAAGUUUUUCUCUCUCUCUUUGUUUUCUCAUCUCCAUCUUCCAGAGAUGGAGAGCUUUUUCUUCCAAAUUCCAAUUAGUUCUUUUUUGUUGUUUUAUAAUUCUAAUCGGAUCAUUAUUUUCUGUUUAUCAGGUUAAUAAUUUCCGGUUAUCAGAUUUCUCUUAUGUUUUAAUCGGAUAAUAACUUCCGACUUCGAUCGGUGCUUCUGGCUAAGUCCGGAUUCAUCAAUCUCUUUACCCGCUGUUUUAAUUUCAUGUCGGAAAUGCUUGAUGUUCUUAUAAGUUUUGUUUCAGAUUUCAUAUUGCUUGGAGUAAUAUCUUCGUUGUUUAUUCCUCUUGUUCAUACCAGAGCAACGAUGGACACAGAUGAGAUCAAUAGACUGGGUCUAAUCGGCGACAGAGCAUCCGUGAAGUUUCAGAUUGGAAUAAAGCUUUGAAGCUGUUUGGUAACAGCUUGUUUCAUUCCGGCAACUAUGUUUCAGGACUGAAGAUCGGCAGGCUUAGAUGUUACACAAGCAUGGAGGUUGUUGGAGUAAUUGAAGUAAAAGCUGGUGGUGGUGAACAGUCACGGCGGUGAAGUCAGCAAUGUUCAACUGAAGCUGGUGACAACAUAAGAGAUGACUCAUCUCUCUUAUUCCUAGAAACAGACAUGUGGCUGUGAUAUUUACUCGUGUUUGAUACUGAAGCUGUAAUAUAAUUUUUCUAUGUGGUGUUUCUGGGCCUAUAUAUAUUACGUGUAUCCAUUAUGAGUUUCAUAAUGAAAUGAAUGGCCGACAAAAAAAAAAGUAACUUCAACCUUAAACCAUACCUCUUAGAGUAUUUUCAAAUCUCUCAUGAAGUUUUUAACAUUUUUUAAAUAAUAUAAUUUU
This 899-nucleotide long non-coding RNA is filed under the name Eutrema salsugineum. RNAcentral's name for it is "long non-coding RNA (ESAL_LNC000368)". The record is from RNAcentral. Lineage: Eukaryota; Viridiplantae; Streptophyta; Magnoliopsida; Brassicales; Brassicaceae.